AAAAAAUCGGUGGCUGCGACUGUUUAUUAAAAACACAGCACUCUGCAAACACGAAAGUGGACGUAUAGGGUGUGACGCCUGCCCGGUGCUGGAAGAUUAAAUGAUGGGGUGCAAGCUCUUGAUUGAAGUCCCAGUAAACGGCGGCCGUAACUAUAACGGUCCUAAGGUAGCGAAAUUCCUUGUCGGGUAAGUUCCGACCUGCACGAAUGGCGUAACGAUGGCCACACUGUCUCCUCCUGAGACUCAGCGAAGUUGAAAUGUUUGUGAUGAUGCAAUCUCCCCGCGGAAAGACGGAAAGACCCCAUGAACCUUUACUGUAGCUUUGUAUUGGACUUUGAACAGAUCUGUGUAGGAUAGGUGGGAGGCUUUGAAGCAGGGUCGCUAGAUCUUGUGGAGCCAACGUUGAAAUACCACCCUGGUGUGUUUGAGGUUCUAACCUAGGUCCAUUAUCUGGAUCGGGGACAGUGCAUGGUAGGCAGUUUGACUGGGGCGGUCUCCUCCCAAAGCGUAACGGAGGAGUUCGAAGGUACGCUAGUUACGGUCGGACAUCGUGACGAUAGUGCAAUGGCAUAAGCGUGCUUAACUGCGAGACUGACAAGUCGAGCAGAUGCGAAAGCAGGACAUAGUGAUCCGGUGGUUCUGUAUGGAAGGGCCAUCGCUCAACGGAUAAAAGGUACUCUGGGGAUAACAGGCUGAUACCGCCCAAGAGUUCAUAUCGACGGCGGUGUUUGGCACCUCGAUGUCGGCUCAUCUCAUCCUGGGGCUGUAGCCGGUCCCAAGGGUAUGGCUGUUCGCCAUUUAAAGAGGUACGUGAGCUGGGUUUAAAACGUCGUGAGACAGUUUGGUCCCUAUCUUCCGUGGGCGCUGCAGAUUUGAGGAAGCCUGCUCCUAGUACGAGAGGACCGGAGUGGACACACCUCUGGUGUAUCGGUUGUCACGCCAGUGGCAUUGCCGAGUAGCUAAGUGUGGAAGAGAUAACCGCUGAAAGCAUCUAAGCGGGAAACUCGUUUCAAGAUGAGAUCUGCCGGGGCCUUGAGCCCCCUAAAGAGUCGUUCAAGACCAGGACGUUGAUAGGUCAGGUGUGGAAGCGCAGUAAUGCGUUAAGCUAACUGAUACUAAUUGCUCGUGCGGCUUGACCCU
RNAcentral lists this ribosomal RNA (1140 nucleotides) under Variovorax sp. JGI 001013-H06. RNAcentral describes it as "bacterial LSU rRNA". It matches the Rfam family "Bacterial large subunit ribosomal RNA", at positions 1781 to 2925 of the family's 2925-position model. Lineage: Bacteria; Pseudomonadati; Pseudomonadota; Betaproteobacteria; Burkholderiales; Comamonadaceae. The record is from RNAcentral.